AUUGAACGCUGGCGGCAUGCCUUAUACAUGCAAGUCGAACGGUAACGCGGGGCGAUCUGGCGACGGGUGUUGGAGGGGUGAGUAAUGCUACCGCAUGGGUCCCCUACUGGUGGAUAGGGCGUCGAAAGGCGGAUCAAUACCGCAUGCGACCUGAGGGUGAGAACGGGGGGGUGCAAGAGCUCACGCCGUUGUUGCGGUCGCUGUUAGAUUAGCUAGUUGGUGAGGUAAAGGCCUACCAAGGCGACGAUCUGUAGCGGGUCUGAGAGGACGAGCAGCCACACUGGGACUGAGACACGGCCCAGACUCCUACGGGAGGCAGCAGUGGGGAAUUUUGGACAAUGGGCGCAAGCCUGAUCCAGCCACGCCGCGUGAGGGAAGAAGGCCUUCGGGUUGUAAAACGCUUUUGUCAGGGAAGAAACGCUCUGGGCUAAUACCCUGGGGUAAUGACGGUACCUGAAGAAUAAGCACCGGCUAACUACGUG
This 482-nucleotide ribosomal RNA is filed under the name uncultured bacterium. RNAcentral describes it as "partial 16S ribosomal RNA". It matches the Rfam family "Bacterial small subunit ribosomal RNA", at positions 29 to 507 of the family's 1533-position model. The record is from RNAcentral.